This 253-nucleotide ribosomal RNA is filed under the name uncultured bacterium. RNAcentral's name for it is "partial 16S ribosomal RNA". It matches the Rfam family "Bacterial small subunit ribosomal RNA", at positions 524 to 776 of the family's 1533-position model. The record is from RNAcentral.
UACGUAGGGUGCGAGCGUUGUCCGGAAUUAUUGGGCGUAAAGAGCUCGUAGGCGGCUUGUCGCGUCGACUGUGAAAACCCGCGGCUUAACUGCGGGACUGCAGUCGAUACGGGCAGGCUAGAGUUCGGUAGGGGAGACUGGAAUUCCUGGUGUAGCGGUGGAAUGCGCAGAUAUCAGGAGGAACACCGGUGGCGAAGGCGGGUCUCUGGGCAGUAACUGACGCUGAGGAGCGAAAGCGUGGGGAGCGAACAGG